This is a long non-coding RNA of Mastomys coucha (southern multimammate mouse), 665 nucleotides long. RefSeq lists it as uncharacterized. The record is from RefSeq and is a predicted model, not a curated record. NCBI's taxonomy places the organism in Eukaryota, Metazoa, Chordata, Mammalia, Rodentia, Muridae. The transcript has 5 exons.
AUGGGCUCCACUUCAUGUUUUUGCCUUGAAUUUCUCUCCUGAUUUCCCUCAGUGGUAGAUUGUGACCUGAAAUAGGAAAUGAAGUCACUUAUGGUGGUUUAAAUGGUUGAAUGUCACUCCUAGGCUCAGGCAUUUGAACUCUCAGUCCCCAGUUGUGGUACUGUUUGGAGAGGUUAUAGGGAGGUGUGGCCAAGCUGGAAGAAGUGCACUACUGAAGGUUCCUGUGUUCAGGUAAAAUGUGAUCUGUCUGCUUUCUGACUAGCAGAUCUGCCUUAAAGUCCUGCUGUCCUGCCUUCUUCUCCAUGAUGAACUACACCCUGAAAUUACCCAUUAUCUAGGGUAAUCUUAUAUAUCCCUUCUGGAACUGCAAGCAACAAUAAACCCUUUUCUCUUCUAAGUGGAUGCUGCUCAUGUAAUGAAAAUUUGAGCUGUAGCCAUGUGCCACACUGUGUGCCACAUUUCCUCCCAGCCAUUCAGUGAGGUCAGAUGACAUCGUGAGAGUCUUCCUCAAAGCAUAGAAACAACAAAGCCAACACAGUGCUCACAUGACUGGUGUCAGACAGGUCCUGGAAGCUUUCAGCUCUAAAGGGUUGAGUUCACCAUCGUGCAAAACAAACUAUGGGCUGAGCCUUCAGAGCAAGCUGCUCAACAAGACCCCAGCCAGG